Molecule: RNA transcript, 11222 nt
Organism: Astyanax mexicanus (Mexican tetra)
Lineage: Eukaryota; Metazoa; Chordata; Actinopteri; Characiformes; Acestrorhamphidae
Gene: sorl1
Gene name: sortilin-related receptor, L(DLR class) A repeats containing
Exons: 49
Source: RefSeq, a predicted model, not a curated record
CGAGAAGAAACACAAACAUACACAAACAUGGCGACACAGCAGACGUGCAGGAUGCUCUCGCUCCGCCGCUGCGCUGUUUUUCUGCUGCUCUGGUUCGUCCCCGGCAGCUUUUCGGACACGCUCCGUCUUCACCAGGACCCGCGCUUCAUGCUGCCCCAGGACCGGGGCUUUUCUCUGGUCAGCGCCUCCGCCGGGCUCUUGGAGAGCUCAGCGGGGGGAGCGGCUGGAACAUACCCCGGGCAGAGAGCACGCAGCCGGCGGAGCGCCGCCGAGAGCCCCGCUAUGACCAGGGUCUACGGGCGGGCCAACCUGAAUGAUUCACAUAACCAGAUGGUCGUCCACUGGGCUGGAGAGAAGAGCAACGUCAUUGUAGCUUUAGCCAGAGACAGCGUUGGAGCAGCUGACCCCAAGAGCAGCUCGGUCUACGUAUCCUAUGACUAUGGAACCACCUUCAGCCACAUAUCGGAGAUGUUUAAUCUGUCUGGUGGGAAGGAGAACAGCAAGCAGGUCAUCUCCCAGUUCUACCACAGCCCUGCUGACAACAAACGGUACCUUUUUGCGGACACCACCAACAGUUACCUGUGGAACACUUUUGACUUCUGCAAGAGCGUCCAGGGCUUCUCCAUCCCUUUCAAGCCCACAGAUCUGCUCCUGCACAGCAAGAGACCCAACCUGGUGCUGGGCUACGACAGUUCCCAUCCUAAUAAGCAGCUUUGGAAAUCAGAUGACUUUGGCGAGACGUGGGUGCUGAUUCAAGAGCAUGUCAAGUCCUACUUCUGGGGAGUGGAGCCGUACGACAGCCCCACCACAGUGCUCGUCCAGAGACACGAACCUCAAGGCAUCUCCAGCAUCCUCAGCAGCACCGACUUUUUCCAGAGCGAGCAGAAUCGCCGCAUCAUCCUGGAGAGGGUGGACAGUUUUCAACUCCGAGACAAAUACAUGUUCGCCACGACCACCAGGCCGCUGCUGGGAAGCCAUGAGCCACAAUCUGUCCAACUGUGGGUCUCCUACAACAGACAGCCAAUGAGGGCCGCCCAGUUUAACACCCGCCACCCAAUCACUGAGUACUACAUAGCGGAUGCUUCAGAGGAUCAAGUGUUUGUGUGUGUGAACCACAACAACAACGUCACACACCUGUACAUCUCAGACACUCAGGGCCUGGCCUUCUCUCUCUCGCUGGAGAACGUUCUGUAUUACAGCCCUGAGGGCUCCGGCAGCAACACCCUCAUCAGGUACUUUGCCAGUGAGCCGUUUGCUGAUCUGCACCGUGUGGAGGGUCUGCGGGGGGUGUUUGUUGCUACGCUGAUUAACGGUUCUCUCAGUGAAGAUAACAUGCGGUCGGUCAUCACCUUCGAUAAGGGGGGAACCUGGGAGCUGCUGCAGCCCCCCGCUGCCGACAGCCUCGGAGGAACUAUUAACUGCCAGAUCUCUAAGGGCUGUUCUCUGCACCUGGCUCAGCGCUGGAGUCAGCUGUUGAAUAUUCAGUUGAGGAGGAUGCCCAUCCUGUCUAAAGAGUCGGCACCUGGCCUCAUCAUGGCAACAGGAUCUGUGGGGAAGAAUUUGGCCAACAAGCCCAAUGUGUACGUGUCCAGCAGUGCAGGAGUCCGGUGGAGAGAGGCUCUGGCUGGUCCUCACUUCUACACCUGGGGUGACCAUGGAGGCAUACUGAUGGCCAUCAGCCAAGGCGGCUCCACCAAAACACUCAAGUUCAGCACUAAUGAAGGUGAGACCUGGACCGAGUUCCAGUUCUCUGAGCAGGAGGUCUACGUGUACCAGCUGCUGACGGAGCCGGGAGAGAAGAGCACCAUCUUCACCAUCUUCGGCUCCUACGCCGACCAGAAGCACAGCUGGCUCAUUCUGCAAGUCAAUGCCACCGAUGUGCUCGGCGUGCCGUGCACUGACGGAGACUAUAAGCACUGGUCCCCGUCUGAUGAGCGUGGGAACGGGUGUCUGCUGGGUCGAGAGCUGGUGUAUAAGCGGCGCACACCUCACGCCACCUGCUUUAACGGCGAGGACUUCGACCGCCCCGUCAGUCUGUCCAACUGCUCCUGCACCCGGCAGGAUUACGAGUGUGAUUACGGCUUCAUGCUGACGGAAGACCUGUCUUUGCAAGUUUGCGUCCCUGAUCCAGAGUUUUUAGGCAACCUGUAUGCCCCUCCUGUGCCCUGCCCGGUGGGCACGACCUACCGCCGCAGCAAAGGGUACAGGAAGGUGCCUGGGGACAGCUGCAGUGGUGGAGAUGUGGAAGCCAGGCUGGAUGGAGAGAUGCUGCCGUGUCCUGUUGGAGAGAGUAAUGAGUUUAUUCUCUAUGCGGUGAGGAACUCCAUCCACCGGUAUGAUCUUGCCACUGGUGCUGACCAGCCGCUGCCUCUCUCUGGGCUCCACGAGGCGGUGGCUCUGGACUUCGAUUACGAGAAGAACUGCCUCUACUGGGCCGACAUUUCACUGGAUACUAUUCAGAGGCUCUGUUUGAACGGCAGCACCGGGCAGGAAGUGAUCAUUAGGAAAGACCUUCAGAACGUGGAGGCUCUGACCUUUGACCCCAUCAGCAGACUGCUGUACUGGGUGGACGCUGGUGCUCAGAAGAUUGAGGUAUCAAACUCUGACGGAGAUCUGAGACGCACUCUGGUGAACUCCUCAGUGCUGGAGCAUCCUCGAGCUCUGGCCUUAUUAUCUGGAGAGAGUCUGAUGUUCUGGACGGACUGGGGGGAUCAGGCAGCGGGGGUGUACCGCAGCUGGAUGGAUGGCUCUAAUGUGGAGCGUAUUGUAUCAGACGGUGUUCGAUGGCCGAAUGGCAUCACGGCUGAUGAUCACUGGCUGUACUGGACUGAGGCGUACGGGGACCGUAUUGAGAGAGCUGAUUUCAGAGGGGGGCAGCGCACUGUGCUGAUGGAGGGUCUGCCUCAUCCCUACGCUAUAGCGGUCUUUAAGAAUGACCUGUACUGGGAUGACUGGUCCAGAAUGGGUAUUUUCAAGGCCCCCAAAUCAGGCUCCUCCAACAGCGAGCUGCUGGUGGGCAGACUGACGGGCGUGAUGGACCUCAAGAUCUUCUACAAGGGCAAAACUAGAGGUCACAACGCGUGUGCCGACCAGCCGUGUACCCUGCUCUGCCUGCCGCAGCCCAACCACAUGCAUAGCUGUGUGUGUCCAGACGGAGUCGCCUCCACCACGCUGCCCUCAGGAGAGAUUCAGUGCCAGUGUCCCGCUGGGUAUCAGCUCCACAACAACAGCUGCGUGAAGACGGAACACACAUGCCUGCCGAAUCAGUACCGCUGCUCCAACGGCAAGUGCAUCAGCAGCAUCUGGAAAUGCGACAGCGACAACGACUGUGGAGACAUGAGUGAUGAGCAGGAGUGCCCCACCACCUCUUGUGACCCUGCUGUGCAGUUCCGCUGCGUCGGCUCGGGAUCCUGCAUCCCGCUGGCCUUCAAGUGUGACCACGAGGACGACUGCGGCGACAACAGUGAUGAGGACCACUGCGAGUCACACCAGUGUGGACCAGGGGAGUUUACUUGUGCAAGAGGUGUGUGUAUCCGUGAUGCCUGGCGCUGUGAUGGUGAUAACGACUGCAGGGAUUGGUCGGAUGAGGCCAACUGCACUGUUGGCCACCACACAUGUGAGAGCAGCAGUUUCCAGUGUCAUACUGGUCACUGUAUUCCUCAGCGCUGGGUGUGUGACGGUGAUGACGACUGUCAGGACGGCUCUGAUGAGGAGCCCAGUCACUGCGAAGGUGAACACUGUAAUGGCUUCCUGUGUUCCAACGGCACCUGUCUGCCAGCCAGCGCCCACUGCAACGGCCUGGAGGACUGCCCAGGGGGCACGGACGAGCAGCACUGCGAUCCGCUGUGCACGCGCUACAUGGAGUUUGUGUGUAAGAACAGAGCUCAGUGUCUGUUCCAGUCUCUGGUGUGUGACGGCACAAAGCACUGCGCCGACGGUUCGGAUGAAGACGCCUCUUACGCAGGAUGCUCCACCCAUCCUGAGUUCGAGAAGAAGUGUGAUGCCGACAACUUCCAGUGUGCUAACGGUGUAUGUGUGAGCCUGGACUGGAAAUGUGAUGGCAUGGACGACUGUGGUGACUACUCAGAUGAGGCUAACUGCGUUUCCCCAACUGAGGAGCCAGGCUGCUGGAGAUACUUCCAGUUUGCGUGUAAGAACGGCCGCUGCGUGCCCACUUGGUGGAAAUGUGACGGAGAGAACGACUGUGGAGACUGGUCUGAUGAAUCGCAGUGUACAGAUGGAAUCUCACCGCACACCUCUUCUCCUGGUCCCGUUUCCUGCGCUCCUAACCGCUUCCCCUGUGGUACUGGAGCGUGUAUAGUGAAUAACUGGGUGUGUGAUGGAUAUGCAGACUGCCCCGAUGGCAGUGACGAAGUGGGCUGUCCCACAGCUUCCAACAGCUCUGUGACUCGCUCCCCCCUGUUCACCACUGCACCCGAGCCCGCGGGCCGCUGCACCAGGGGGCAGUUCCAGUGCCGGAAACCUCCCACCUGCAUCCCGGAGUGGCAGCGGUGCGACGGACGCAGACACUGCCAGGAUGGCUCAGAUGAGACCAACUGUCCUACUCACGGUCCUCUGACGUGUGUGAACGGCACUCUGUGUGCUGACGGGGAGGCGUGUGUGAUGGACUCUGAGAGAUGUGACGGUUUCUUGGACUGCUCAGACCACAGUGAUGAAGAUAACUGCACUGCAGACUCUCUGGUUUAUAAAGUCCAGAACCUGCAGUGGAGCGCUGACUUCUCCGGCGCCAUCACGCUCACCUGGUCCCGACCCAAAAACAUGCCCCCUUCCACCUGCUCCUUCAUCAUCUACUACAGGCUGGUGGGGGCUCAGCAGUGGACCACCAUGGACACCCACAGCAACAAGAGCAGCUACACACUGACUGUACUGAGACCAGACACCACCUACCAGGUGAAAGUGGUGACGCAGUGUCUCAGCAAGCAGCACAAAACCAACGAGGUGCUGACCCUCCGCACUCCUGAGGGCUUGCCGGAUCCUCCUCAGGGGCUGCAGCUGGGCUGUGAUAAAGGAGAGGACGGGACUGUGCUUUGCUCCUGGAGUCCCCCGGAUAACACUCACGGCCUCAUCAGAGAGUACAUAGUAGAGUACAGUGAAAAGGGCAGUUCUGAGUGGUUUUCUCAGAGAAGCACCACCACCAGUACCACAGUCAGGAGUCUUCAGCCCAGCUCCCUCUACAGGUUCAGGGUGGCUGCAGUGACCAGUAGAGGAGUGGGAAACUGGACGGAGAUCAAAUCCGUCGUACCUCAGAAAGCUCUGGCACCUCCGGUCACAAAGAUCAUCAGCAUCACAGAGGAUACUCUCACUCUGUCCAUCAGCUCUGAUUAUAAAGUUAAAUACUAUGUAGUGCUCCUCAGCUGGGUCUUCGAGAAGCAUGUGAAAGAAAGCAGGAACUACACAGUCUCAAAAACUUUAAAGGCCACCAAUCUGACCGCAGGUACUCUGUAUGAGGUGUCCGUGUGGUCCCACACCACUGAUGGAGACAGUCCCACCGCCCUGUUCCGUCUGCAGACCGGCGGCUCUCAGCCAGCUCAGCCCUUACUGAAGGCCCGCGCCCUGAACCAGACUGCUGUGGACUGCAGCUGGACCGGACCUCCAGCACAGAUGUAUGGUGUGUUUUACGCCACCUCCUUCCUGGAUCUUUACCGCCGGCCGCAGAGCGUGAACAGCAGCGGCAGCCUGAUCGUCUCUGUGGAGAAUGAUGAGCAGUACCUCUUCCAUGUGAGGGUAAUCGAGCCGUAUCUGGGACCUCCGUCUGAGUCUGUUGUUGUGAAGAUGAUUCCUAAUGAGAGACUUCCUCCUCGAAAUCUGCACAAAGUGAGAGUGGAGAAGACCCAGGCCACGCUGAAGUGGCAGCCGCCAUAUGACACCCCUGGUGAACCUCUGACGUAUGUGGUGCACGUGAGAGACGCGGUGAGGAAAACUGAACGUGAUUAUAAAGUGACGACUCAGAACAACACAGUAGAGUACUGUCUGAAGGGCCUGGAGCCCGGCGGACGCUACAGCAUCACCGUCCGGCUGCGCAACAUGAGCAAGGAGGCCACCUACACCCUCAACACAGUUCCUCUACCACCACCUGAAGCUCUCAAAAUCCUGGCUGAGAAUAACCGUGUGUUCCUCUUCUGGAAGAGUCUGGCUGUAAAGGAGAAAAGCUUUAACGAGAGUCGGGGCUAUGAGAUCUAUGUGCAUGACAGCGUGAGUAACUCCACCACGUGGCUCGGGAACACCACAGAGACGUUUUUCUGGAUCAGCAACCUGCUGCUGGGACACAACUACACGUUCUCAGUGAGGGCCAGCUGCCUGGUGAGCAACCAGCUGUGUGGAGAGUCUGCAGUGCUGCUGUAUGAUGAGCUGGGGUCCGGAGCAGCAGGUAUUAAUGACCCUGCAGCUCAUUCAGCUCGUUCUGGUGACAUGGCUGCGGUGGUGGUUCCGGUCCUGUUUAUUCUGCUGCUGGGUGUGUGUGGGGGGCUGGUGGCUCUGUAUGUGCGGCACAGGCGUCUCCAGCACAGCUUCACCGCCUUCGCCAACAGCCACUACAACUCCCGCCUCGGCUCCGCCAUCUUCUCCUCCGGAGACGAGCUGGGUGAUGACGACGAGGAUGCACCAAUGAUCAGUGGCUUUUCAGACGAUGUUCCCAUGGUGAUAGCGUAGUGAGGCUCUCAGUUCCUGAAGAUCACCCUCUCCUCCAUCUAUCCUCCAUCUCUUUCUCUCCCUCCCUCCAUCCCUCCCUUUCCCCAUCUUACCUCGUUCUUCAGGUGUGUCCUUCCCGGCACGCCGUCCCGCCCCCUCCCGCUUAGGAUUUCAGGAUCCAGAGGAAGAAAGGAGAAAACAAAGUGAAAGAGAUAUUUUUUAAAUCUAAGAUGCACUUUUUUCGGAUGCGCAAUAACUUAUUUUUUUAUAGAUAUUAUACUGUUUGUGGGUGAUGGACUCGGUAGGUGAGAGAGGGAGGAGAAAAAAAAAACGACAAAAGAAAACGGAAGCGAAGCUGUGAAGAAGUUUAUCAGCUGGACUCAGUGAACAGGGAAAAAAGACCCUUUAGUGAAUCACCGACUCACAAACACACUGGACCAUUGCGUGUCUUAAAAAGCCAAAAUGAGCACCUAUACACCGGAUCAUCCAGCGCAAAAAAACAAGAACAAAAUUAUAUAUAUAUAUAAAUAAAUCACACAUGUACAAAUGGAAAUAAAUGUACGAAUGAAUGCUGAUCUCAUUUAAAACAAACAAAAAAAAAACACACAAAAGGGAAAGAGGUACUCGGGCUGUUGACAGUGAAUUGCACAGAAUUUUUGAUUAUGUAUAAUUUUGUUGUGUCACUUUGUCAGUAGACAUGUAGAUUAGACCACGGUACCUUUUAACAUUAUCAUUAUUUUCUAAUUUUCUUUUUUUUGUUUUUAAUCGUCUGUUUAACAUAUCUCUUCAGAACCUGUACAGGUACAUUAUUUCUCUGAUUGUUGAAAAUGUGAAAAACAGUUAUUUUUCAUUAUUUUCUGGCUAUAAUUCUAAAAAAAAAACACUGUAAAGCCCUGUCUAAAUAGGAUUAGUUUUAUGUAAGGAGGUGGAGUUAUGUAUUUUUAAUAUAGGACAUCUACUAAAUAUAUGAUCGAUUUACAAGAGAUACGAAGGCUCUGUAUAAAUUACUAAAAUGGGAGUAGCUACUUGAUUUAUGCAGUCACCUCCAGAAACAUGUGAACUUAUAACCCACUUAUAGUACUGUAUUUUUCACACAUACAUAAGGCACACUGGAUUAUAAGGUGCAUUUUAAGAGACACUAUAAGGAACUUCUUAUUUAGCUGGUCUUGCUAAGCUAAGUAAACAAAACUGUAUUAAAAAAUAAAGUUUAAAAUUAAAGUCUUUUAAAGUUUACUUGGGUGAGUAAAGCUCUUCUGUUUACUUACAGUAAACUUAGUGCUGGAGAAAUCUGCAAAUCUAAGUCUGGAGCAUUAGCGUUAGCAGCUAACUGCUCCAGCAGUGCUAGCCGGGGUUAGCAGCAGGCUACAGUCCAAUAAUACUCACCUCUGAACAGGAAAAGAAUGGUUAGCGGCUAAUGCUAAUGCUACUCCAGCAGGCUUUACUGCUCCUUAAUACCUGACUGAUAGAAUUCAUAUAUAAAACAGAGUGGAUUAUAAAGAGAACUGACAAUUAUUGGAAAAUUAAAGGAUUUUAAGUGCACCUUAUAGUGCAAAAAAAUGUGGAAAUGAUCAAAUGUUAGUUUAAAAAGUAAAAAAAAAAAAUAGCUGCUAGCAUAGAGAUUGGCCUAAGGCCUUAAUAACCCACAUAAUUUGUGCUUCUGUACUUUAGAAAAAAAAAGAAAAAAAAAACUCCUUUUUUUUUUUUUUUUUUUGCAGUUUUUGGCAGAAAAUGACCCAUAUUUUGGUUCACACAGAAUUUAUACAACCUGAGGUGAUUUUUACGGUUCGUUUUACAGAAAUUAAACAGGAUUAAAAUUACUGAGGAUGUCUAAUAAUAUAUAAAUUACUUUUUUAAUACUUUACUCCACCUCCCAAUGUAAAACUAAUCCUAUUCGAACAGGGCUCAAGCCAUAUAAGAAUGACCUGCAGAUGCUUCUCUCUAUCUUGUCAGAAAUUGUUCCCUGGCUUUUGUCAGUUACUGUAUUGAGAAGGUCUUCUGGAGAAACAGAUAGUACAGAACUUCUUUAAAUGGCACUGUUUAUUUUAUUUUAUUUUUUACCGUUGCUUUUUAUUGUUUUGUCUUUUAUUUCCAUCAUGUAAGUAAUGCUGAAACUGUUAGAAGCAUCCCAUUUGCUGUUAAUGUGUCAGUCUUUUGAUGCUCUCAGGGAACUGGGUGUGUGUGUGUGUGUGUGUGUGUGUGUGUAUAAUAUGUGUGUGUACAGCAUUAGGGCAUGGUACCAGCGUUUUGCAGCCUGUGCAGUGGUGUGUGUGUGUGUGUGUGUGUGUGUGUGUUUCUCUCUGAGGCAGUCAAGCAGUACAGUGGCUUUGUGUAAAGCACCAAGGCUUUGUUGCAGCGUCUCGUGCCAAACGGACAGAAAAGUGGAGGAGAGAAAAAGGACAGAUCAGCCUUCAGAGACCACGCUGACCGUGCUGAGUGUUGGAAGUAAUGUGGAAACUGAAGAUCACACUGAUCGUGAAACCCAUCUCCCUCUUCCCUGCAUGCAGAAAUAUCUAUUACCCACGCUGCACCAGGUCCAGGCGUUUAGAUUAGAGUCAGGUACGACGGUUAAGAAUAGACUUUAAUUCACUCAUAUCAUAGCGUACCUGAACUAAAACAAAGCUCAGUUAUGAGGUCACCUAAUCUGCAGCAUCAGCAGUGACCUCACACUUUUUAGUAAUAAUGACCUCAUGUAAUUAAUGACCUCACACUUUCACACAGUAAUUGUUUUAAGUGUUGCUGCAAGCCAAUAAGCUAGCCUCAUCAUCGGGACGUGUGUGAUGAUUAAAGCCCUAUCCGGACGGGAUUAGUUUCUCGGGGGGACGUCUGUUUAAAAAAAAAAUAUAUAUAUAUAUAUUUACUCUUUUACUCAGUGAUAAAACUCUUGCAUCCGGACUAAAAUUGAAAAAAAAAACAGGAGGAACAGUGAGGUUUCUCGGUCACAUGACGUAGCGUUCAGUAGCACCUCCAUUUCCACUCGCUGUUGUGUUUUACAUGGAUUUCCGUGGAAACGCGCAUCCAAAGUGUCAUAGUGUAAUUAUGGUGUGUGGAAGUGGACAAAUUGGUAACACUUUAAGUGUUGACUAACUAACAUGAAUUAAUGCAUUAGUUACCAUGAACAAGACAUGAGGUAAUACAUUAACAAUGCCUAGGUAAUGUCAAUUGAACACAUUACAACAGCAUUAAUUAAUGACACUUUCACUGGAAAUAAAUCAUAAAUCAUAUAUUUUUUUUUAAAUAGUGUUAACUAAUGUUAGUUAAACAACUAAUAACUGCUUUAGUCAGUUUUUUUAGACUUCUUGUCAUUUGCUAACGUACUGCAGUUAUGCAUACAUUAAUUGUUAAAUAUAUUAAUAAAAAAAAUUGUUAUAAAUAUAAUCAGCUGUGAUAAAACUUAUGCAGUGUUAGCCAGUUACUUUUUUAUAUACUAAAGUCCAUUAACUAAUAUAAUAUUUUUUAUUUUUAAAACAUUAAAUGAUUACAGUAUGCAUAACUGCAGUACGUAAGCAAAUGACAAGAAGAUUAACUAAUUCAGUUGCUACUUGUUUACCUAACAUUAGCUAACACUAUUAAUAAAGUAUAUGAUGUAUUAUUCAUCUUAACAAAUGCUUCACUUAUAAUGUCAGUUUAUCUACAUUUCCUGUGAAAUUGAAAUUAAUUAAUUAAUGCUGUUGUAAUGUGUUUAAUUAACAUUAUCUAAGCAUUGUUAAUGUAUUACCUAAUGUCUUGUUCAUGGUAACUAAUGCAUUAAUUUAAUAAUUCAUGUUAGUUAGUCAACACUAAAUGUAAAGUGUUACCAAAGUUAUUUUAUUAAACGCGAGGAGACGAAACUCAGAUGAGAGUCCGGACGGGACUAAAAUUACUGGAGGACCACGAGGAAGAGUUCAGAGAAAAACAGGAGAUAAUUCAGCCUGGUACAUGGUCGUUCUGGACAGGAAUAAAAUCACAGAGGAUAAAAACCCCCAUAAAAGAUAAAAUUACUUAGUCCGGAUAGGGCUUUAGAUGAGUUUGCAUUGCUUUUUGAUUUUCAUUUUUUUUUAUUAUUAAUUUAAUUAAUUUUGUUUCCGGGGGCGGAGCCUUACAGACAGAGCUGUACAGUAACUGUAGGCUAGAAACGGCAGGAGUUUCAAACAAUCUUGUCUCACUUAUUUUAAAUAUGUUUGCCAUGAAUGCCUUAUUAGCAACAGCUUGAGUCGUGUCAGUAAAAUCAUACAUCUUGUUCAUGACCACAGAAAACCACGUGUAAAAACAUGGAAAUGUAUAUUCACCUCUGCUUCAGGCAUUUUGUGUAACAGUGAGGAACUAUGCUGUUUUUAUUUUAUUUUCUUUAUUAAUUGUCUUCACUCACACCAUCUCUGUGGCUCUGUGUGUAAUAACUAAUGUCUAAACUCCACUCGCUGUCUUGUUGUAAAAGUUUUUUUUAAUUUCACAGUAAUGGCAUUGGACACAUUGGCCAUGUAUUGGUUGGAUCCUGCUUGCCUAUGGAGGGAUUUACAGACAUGAAUCUUAUGAAGAGGAACAGUCUGAGGGGUUUUAAGAACCACUUAUACUAAAAUAAACAUGCUGAAACUGUUGAA